Molecule: ribosomal RNA, 1539 nt
Filed under: [Enterobacter] lignolyticus SCF1
Lineage: Bacteria; Pseudomonadati; Pseudomonadota; Gammaproteobacteria; Enterobacterales; Enterobacteriaceae
Description: Enterobacter cloacae SCF1 Bacterial small subunit ribosomal RNA
Rfam family: Bacterial small subunit ribosomal RNA
Source: Rfam by way of RNAcentral
AAAUUGAAGAGUUUGAUCAUGGCUCAGAUUGAACGCUGGCGGCAGGCCUAACACAUGCAAGUCGAACGGUAGCACAGAGAGCUUGCUCUCGGGUGACGAGUGGCGGACGGGUGAGUAAUGUCUGGGAAACUGCCUGAUGGAGGGGGAUAACUACUGGAAACGGUAGCUAAUACCGCAUAACGUCGCAAGACCAAAGUGGGGGACCUUCGGGCCUCAUGCCAUCAGAUGUGCCCAGAUGGGAUUAGCUAGUAGGUGGGGUAACGGCUCACCUAGGCGACGAUCCCUAGCUGGUCUGAGAGGAUGACCAGCCACACUGGAACUGAGACACGGUCCAGACUCCUACGGGAGGCAGCAGUGGGGAAUAUUGCACAAUGGGCGCAAGCCUGAUGCAGCCAUGCCGCGUGUAUGAAGAAGGCCUUCGGGUUGUAAAGUACUUUCAGCGAGGAGGAAGGCAUUAAGGUUAAUAACCUUGGUGAUUGACGUUACUCGCAGAAGAAGCACCGGCUAACUCCGUGCCAGCAGCCGCGGUAAUACGGAGGGUGCAAGCGUUAAUCGGAAUUACUGGGCGUAAAGCGCACGCAGGCGGUCUGUCAAGUCGGAUGUGAAAUCCCCGGGCUCAACCUGGGAACUGCAUUCGAAACUGGCAGGCUUGAGUCUCGUAGAGGGGGUAGAAUUCCAGGUGUAGCGGUGAAAUGCGUAGAGAUCUGGAGGAAUACCGGUGGCGAAGGCGGCCCCCUGGACGAAGACUGACGCUCAGGUGCGAAAGCGUGGGGAGCAAACAGGAUUAGAUACCCUGGUAGUCCACGCCGUAAACGAUGUCUAUUUGGAGGUUGUUCCCUUGAGGAGUGGCUUCCGGAGCUAACGCGUUAAAUAGACCGCCUGGGGAGUACGGCCGCAAGGUUAAAACUCAAAUGAAUUGACGGGGGCCCGCACAAGCGGUGGAGCAUGUGGUUUAAUUCGAUGCAACGCGAAGAACCUUACCUGGUCUUGACAUCCACGGAAUUUGGCAGAGAUGCCUUAGUGCCUUCGGGAACCGUGAGACAGGUGCUGCAUGGCUGUCGUCAGCUCGUGUUGUGAAAUGUUGGGUUAAGUCCCGCAACGAGCGCAACCCUUAUCCUUUGUUGCCAGCGGUUAGGCCGGGAACUCAAAGGAGACUGCCAGUGAUAAACUGGAGGAAGGUGGGGAUGACGUCAAGUCAUCAUGGCCCUUACGACCAGGGCUACACACGUGCUACAAUGGCAUAUACAAAGAGAAGCGACCUCGCGAGAGCAAGCGGACCUCAUAAAGUAUGUCGUAGUCCGGAUUGGAGUCUGCAACUCGACUCCAUGAAGUCGGAAUCGCUAGUAAUCGUGAAUCAGAAUGUCACGGUGAAUACGUUCCCGGGCCUUGUACACACCGCCCGUCACACCAUGGGAGUGGGUUGCAAAAGAAGUAGGUAGCUUAACCUUCGGGAGGGCGCUUACCACUUUGUGAUUCAUGACUGGGGUGAAGUCGUAACAAGGUAACCGUAGGGGAACCUGCGGUUGGAUCACCUCCUUA